UACGUAGGGGGCUAGCGUUGUCCGGAAUCAUUGGGCGUAAAGCGCGUGUAGGCGGCCCGGUAAGUCCGCUGUGAAAGUCGGGGGCUCAACCCUCGAAUGCCGGUGGAUACUGUCGGGCUAGAGUACGGAAGAUGCGAGUGGAAUUCCUGGUGUAGCGGUGAAAUGCGUAGAUAUCUGGAGGAAUACCGGUGGCGAAGGCGGCAUCCUGGACCGGCAUUGACGCUGAUGAGCGAAAGCUAGGGGAGCAAACGGG
This 253-nucleotide ribosomal RNA is filed under the name uncultured bacterium. Its description in RNAcentral is "partial 16S ribosomal RNA". It matches the Rfam family "Bacterial small subunit ribosomal RNA", at positions 524 to 776 of the family's 1533-position model. The record is from RNAcentral.